UGAGGAUAUAGCUCAGUUGGUAGAGUGCUUGCCUUGCAUGCACAAGGCCCUGGGUUCAAUCUCCUGUACCACAA
RNAcentral lists this transfer RNA (74 nucleotides) under Marmota monax (woodchuck). Its description in RNAcentral is "tRNA.Ala". It matches the Rfam family "tRNA". From Rfam's summary of the family: Transfer RNA (tRNA) molecules are approximately 80 nucleotides in length. Lineage: Eukaryota; Metazoa; Chordata; Mammalia; Rodentia; Sciuridae. The record is from RNAcentral.